GCCUUGCUGGCUCAGCAGGGAGAGCAUGAGACUCUUGAUCUCAUGGUCAUGAAUUCAAGCUCCACACUGGGCA
Molecule: transfer RNA, 73 nt
Filed under: Mustela putorius furo (domestic ferret)
Lineage: Eukaryota; Metazoa; Chordata; Mammalia; Carnivora; Mustelidae
Rfam family: tRNA
About the family: Transfer RNA (tRNA) molecules are approximately 80 nucleotides in length. Their secondary structure includes four short double-helical elements and three loops (D, anti-codon, and T loops).
Source: Rfam by way of RNAcentral